UAGGCCUUCUCAGUGUGCUGGAUCUGUCUGCACAAUCUGUCAUCUAUGAAAUCGCCACCGUAGCUUAUAUGAUUCCCUUUGGGAUCGGGGCCUCCACCAGUGUCCGAGUCGGCAACGCCUUAGGAGCCAGGAAAGUGGAAGAUGCCCGGAGGUCUUCUCUGGUCGCCAUGAUUUGCACAGUGGGAUUCUUCCUUCUGAUGUGUGUUGUGUUGACAGCCUCAAAAGAUGUCUUGGCGUACAUUUUCACAAGUGAAAAGUAAG
Non-coding RNA from Notechis scutatus (mainland tiger snake), 261 nucleotides. Lineage: Eukaryota; Metazoa; Chordata; Lepidosauria; Squamata; Elapidae. The record is from RefSeq and is a predicted model, not a curated record.